This 388-nucleotide ribosomal RNA is filed under the name uncultured eukaryote. RNAcentral describes it as "partial 18S ribosomal RNA". It matches the Rfam family "Eukaryotic small subunit ribosomal RNA", at positions 592 to 976 of the family's 1831-position model. The record is from RNAcentral.
CAAUAGCGUAUAUUAAAGUUGUUGCAGUUAAAAAGCUCGUAGUUGGAUUUCUGAUCGAGACAUCAGGUCGGGUCCGAGAGGAUCAUGUACUUUGAUUUUGUUUUGAUCAUCCUUGGGGAGAGGAUUUCUGGCAUUCAGUUGUCGGGAUUGGGAUCCUCAUCGUUUACUGUGAAAAAAUUAGAGUGUUCAAAGCAGGCCUCGGCCUCUGAAUACAUUAGCAUGGAAUAAUAAGAUAGGACUUUGGUGGUCUAUUUUGUUGGUUUGCACGCCAAAGUAAUGAUUAAUAGGGAUAGUUGGGGGUAUUCGUAUUCAAUUGUCAGAGGUGAAAUUCUUGGAUUUAUGGAAGACGAACUACUGCGAAAGCAUUUACCAAGGAUGUUUUCAUUAA